UUCGAAAAGGGCAUAUAUGGGCCAACUGUGUAACUCUAAGGGUAUAUAUGGACCAACUAUGUGACGGUAAGGGCAU
Molecule: microRNA precursor, 76 nt
Filed under: Nicotiana tabacum (common tobacco)
Lineage: Eukaryota; Viridiplantae; Streptophyta; Magnoliopsida; Solanales; Solanaceae
Description: miR6160 stem-loop (nta-MIR6160)
Source: miRBase by way of RNAcentral